Humulus lupulus (European hop) is the source of this 2044-nucleotide long non-coding RNA. RefSeq lists it as uncharacterized. The transcript is spliced from 3 exons. NCBI's taxonomy places the organism in Eukaryota, Viridiplantae, Streptophyta, Magnoliopsida, Rosales, Cannabaceae. The record is from RefSeq and is a predicted model, not a curated record.
UUCAUUUCUUAGGAUGGCUAUGAAUUUGUGGGGCAUUUUAUAUAGUUUUAAUCUGUGUUUAGGGACUAUAAACUUUCAUUAAGGGGUUGUGAAUGGUUUAAUAUGAUAAGGCUUGAAUUUUGGGCUUGAAUCUGUCUUUUUCUUUCAUUAGCCUUUGUAUCUCCACUUUCUUAUUGUAUCUUUUGUCCUCUGUUCUCUGUGUAGCUAGUUGCAUAUAUAACUGUGUUGUUGAAUUAAUUAUUUUUAAUAAAUCAGAUAUAUUUUUAUUUGAAGCUAUGAUAUAUGAAUGAACUUUAUUAGGUUACCAUAAUAAUUAUGAUCAUGCAAUAAUUUUUGUUUUAGUGUGUUUUUGUCCUCUGUUUUUGCUAAUCUACUUAGUUUUGUUACCUUGCACUCUUUUAUGUGUGCAUUACAAGUUGAGCACUAUGUGUUUAUGUUUUUGUGUUUGCAUGUGUGCAUUAAUAUUUUACUGUGGUACCAACUAAGUGAAAAUUUUGCAUGUUUCACAAUAACUCAACAUGUUUCACAUUGCAUGUCUCUCUAGUAUAUUAUCUUUUCUUUUUUUUAUUAUAAUUUUUUUUUGUAUAUCAAGCUUGUCUUUGAUAUUAGUUCCAUGGCGCUUCAUGUAUUUGAAGGAAUAGACAUUGCUGCAGUGACUCCCACCUAUGUCCAUGCACGUUGUUAGUCUGCUCCUUGAAGUUGUUCUUCUCAAAGCAAAAUCAUUGCAAGGCCUUGGACGAUAUGAAGGUAUUUCCUUUACCUAACUAUUGAAUCAAAAGAUUGUACUGAGUAUUAUGUGUCUUGGAAAUGAGCUAUAUAUAGAUACUGCAAGUCAUGUUUUUGUUGUCUUUGCUUCAACUGCUAAUCAGGUAUGUACUUUGGCACUCUUUGUAACAUACCACUUUGUUUUAUUUAUUCUUUUACUUGGUUUUUUAUUUUUGUUCUAUUAUUUCAUUUAGUUACUUAUUAGUUUUAUCCAAAAAAAAUUAGUUGGCUUUAAAAUUAUACUGUUAGUAUUGAUAUAUUAUUUUGAUUGCUAGUUCUUGGAAGAAUGACUUUAGAUUCUAUUUUUAAUUGAUUAAAUAUUAUUUCAUUAGUUUUACCCUGCUGUGGUCUCGUUGCUUUGCUCUUUUUAAUAUAUAGAUUUUCAUGAGUAGUUUAGUUCAUUGUUAAACUGGUUAGCCCAUAAAUGUUGUGUCUUUUGCCUUAAUCUUGAGAGGUAAUGUACAAUAUAAUAUUUUGAGUUAGGUGGCUCUUCUAUUUUGACAAAAUCUUGAGAUUGGUUAAGAAAACGUAGAACUCAUGAUGUUAAUGCCUCUAAAAAAAAGCUAGGAAUGUCCUGAGAUCAUGAAACUUAAAAUUUUGUUGGCUCUUAUCUGGGUCCUAGAUUUCUUGUCUCUAUUGCAUAUAGUCUAGUAAAGCAUGCCACCCUGUAUGCACCAGUUUUUUCUGGCUACAUACUUGAUAUUUCUUUUUGUAUGUAAUGAAUUAGAUGCUAAUUUUUUUAGCAACAAUUAUCUGGUGGGUUAUAGUAGCAAUAUCAAUUUUUAACUUCAGAAUGUUUGAUUAAAAAAGGUAUUUUAAACAUUGUUGGAACUGCAAAAAGAAAUUCUGAAAUUGAUCCGGAAUAAUUCAUUAAGAUAUUUCUGUUGGCAGCCUACACAAGCCUGGUAAUGUCCUCAUAGCUCAUGGGAGAGCUUACAUUAGUACAUUUUCUUGAUAUGGUACCUGUCAUGUAGAUACAGAAAGUGAAUGCACUAUAUAAGAUCCCUGAACAAGUUUUUUUGGUGAUCAACCUACCAUUGAUGUACUGACGAAGAAGCAAAAUGCAUUGCUUGGAGUGGCUACAAAUGAUGAUGGAAAGCAAGUGGAGGAAGAUGCUAGAUAUCCACCAUAGGUGCAAUGUUGCCUGAAAUCUCAUUAUCUGGAUAAAUAUGAUAUUUGGGGAAGUCGACAGUAUCGAAUAUUUGGCACUAGAUUGGUGGUUAUUAGGAUAGAUACUCAUUGUCUUGUAUGUUGGUUGGAAAUUGCAUAGCAAGUUAGU